RNAcentral lists this ribosomal RNA (301 nucleotides) under uncultured bacterium. RNAcentral's name for it is "partial 16S ribosomal RNA". It matches the Rfam family "Bacterial small subunit ribosomal RNA", at positions 509 to 807 of the family's 1533-position model. The record is from RNAcentral.
CAGCCGCCGCGGUAAUACGUAGGUGGCAAGCGUUGUCCGGAAUUAUUGGGCGUAAAGCGCACGUAGGCGGUUAUUCAAGUCAGAGGUGAAAGCCCGGGGCUCAACCCCGGAACUGCCUUUGAAACUAGAUGACUGGAAUCUUGGAGAGGUCAGUGGAAUUCCGAGUGUAGAGGUGAAAUUCGUAGAUAUUCGGAAGAACACCAGUGGCGAAGGCGACUGACUGGACAAGUAUUGACGCUGAGGUGCGAAAGCGUGGGGAGCAAACAGGAUUAGAUACCCGAGUAGUCCCUGUCUCUUAUAC